GGGGCCCGGUCUCCUACGGGUGGCAGCAGUGGGGAAUAUUGCACAAUGGGGGAAACCCUGAUGCAGCGACGCCGCGUGAAGGAAGAAGUAUCUCGGUAUGUAAACUUCUAUCAGCCAGGGAAGAUAGUGACGGUACCUGACUAAAGAAGCCCCGGCUAACUACGUGCCAGCAGCCGCGGU
RNAcentral lists this ribosomal RNA (180 nucleotides) under uncultured bacterium. Its description in RNAcentral is "partial 16S ribosomal RNA". It matches the Rfam family "Bacterial small subunit ribosomal RNA", at positions 326 to 521 of the family's 1533-position model. The record is from RNAcentral.